Long non-coding RNA from Panicum virgatum (switchgrass), 734 nucleotides. RefSeq lists it as uncharacterized. The transcript has 2 exons. The record is from RefSeq and is a predicted model, not a curated record. Lineage: Eukaryota; Viridiplantae; Streptophyta; Magnoliopsida; Poales; Poaceae.
GACACAAUCCUUGCAUACCUCUGCUGCUCUUACGAUCUUUAUAGUCCAAUGUUUUAAAGUCAAUGGGCAUCAGAAUGGACUCUUUCAAGGUAAGUUUAGGCUCUGCUAAUUUAAGUGCUAUUCGAUAAAGAUUCUUUACAGCUCUCAAGCUUUUCAUGGCACCUCUUCAAUAGUGGUAUCAAAUGUUCUGAAAAAUGUGUUUACCUAUAAGAGUAAAUUCACCAGUCUUGACUCAUGUGCUACAAAGUUUCAGCUAUUUCUCUUAACCUUCAGAGAAUAGUAAGUAGGUUCAUCGAUUGAUUAGGUAUGUAAAUUUCUCACAUGUACGGACAAUGCUCACAGCCUGUUUGGUCAAUUGACCAAGAAAGCUGCCAUUUAUUUCAAAAUAGGGCUAAGGCUACGUCAUCUUCACAAUAUAAUACUUAUUCUUUAAAAACUUAUGUUCACUCGGUUAUUCUGAUUUCCAAAAUGAAAUAAGUGCAGCACCUCAUAUUUCCACUCCAGUGUGUGCAGGUCAGCUGGUACAUAUGUUCAGACACAAGCAUGGAUUAUCUCCAAUAAAGAGAGCUUGCCAUUUGAAAAGGAUCUACAUGGUGGUGCAAGAAGUGAUCCUGUCCAGUCCAGCAAUGAGAAGGUGAAAGUGUCAACCUGUGUAAAAUUAAUAUUGUUUUGUAUUUACAAUAUGUUGUGUUAAACCUAUAUAUCCUAGCCAAUAAAUUGCAAAUUAUUCAAAA